UACGAAGGGUGCAAGCGUUACUCGGAAUUACUGGGCGUAAAGCGUGCGUAGGUGGUUCGUUAAGUCUGAUGUGAAAGCCCUGGGCUCAACCUGGGAAUGGCAUUGGAAACUGGCGACCUAGAGUGCGGUAGAGGGCAGUGGAAUUCCCGGUGUAGCAGUGAAAUGCGUAGAGAUCGGGAGGAACAUCUGUGGCGAAGGCGGCUGCGUGGACCAGCACUGACACUGAGGCACGAAAGCGUGGGGAGCAAACAGG
RNAcentral lists this ribosomal RNA (253 nucleotides) under uncultured bacterium. RNAcentral's name for it is "partial 16S ribosomal RNA". It matches the Rfam family "Bacterial small subunit ribosomal RNA", at positions 524 to 776 of the family's 1533-position model. The record is from RNAcentral.